This is a long non-coding RNA of Aegilops tauschii subsp. strangulata, 393 nucleotides long. RefSeq lists it as uncharacterized. Lineage: Eukaryota; Viridiplantae; Streptophyta; Magnoliopsida; Poales; Poaceae. The record is from RefSeq and is a predicted model, not a curated record.
UCUCCACCCAUAUAUGGAUCUCAACAACCAGGCAUACCUACGGGUCAUGGAACCUGCUCGUCGUUGAAUAUGCCUGGUGCUCUCCUGCCUCCUUCGUGCACGACUGCCCGUGAAUUUCCUCGUCCAUCGGCCGAUGCGUUAUCCAGCCCUGUUCGGUAGAUGCAUUUCUGGGCAUCAGUACCUGUACUUCCUUCCGUUAAUUGAUCUAGGACUCUUGUUGCCCCGGUAAUGGCGACACUUUGGGCAGUACCAAGGUUCUCCCCCGCCAGCCACGACAGCUGCAGCAGCCACUGCUCCUCCUCCAAACGGUACGGCCAUGGCCUGCAAAGACAAAGCAAUAUCAGACCGUUGCAUCCAUGAGCAUGUUUUUGCAAAAGGAAAUUGCUAAUUGAA